ACGAACGCUGGCGGCGUGCCUAAUACAUGCAAGUUGAGCGCUGAAGGUUGGUACUUGUACCAACUGGAUGAGCAGCGAACGGGUGAGUAACGCGUGGGGAAUCUGCCUUUGAGCGGGGGACAACAUUUGGAAACGAAUGCUAAUACCGCAUAAAAACUUUAAACACAAGUUUUAAGUUUGAAAGAUGCAAUUGCAUCACUCAAAGAUGAUCCCGCGUUGUAUUAGCUAGUUGGUGAGGUAAAGGCUCACCAAGGCGAUGAUACAUAGCCGACCUGAGAGGGUGAUCGGCCACAUUGGGACUGAGACACGGCCCAAACUCCUACGGGAGGCAGCAGUAGGGAAUCUUCGGCAAUGGACGAAAGUCUGACCGAGCAACGCCGCGGGAGUGAAGAAGGUUUUCGGAUCGUAAAACUCUGUUGGUAGAGAAGAACGUUGGUGAGAGUGGAAAGCUCAUCAAGUGACGGUAACUACACAGAAAGGGACGGCUAACUACGUG
RNAcentral lists this ribosomal RNA (496 nucleotides) under uncultured bacterium. RNAcentral's name for it is "partial 16S ribosomal RNA". It matches the Rfam family "Bacterial small subunit ribosomal RNA", at positions 29 to 507 of the family's 1533-position model. The record is from RNAcentral.